CCUGCCAGUGAACUAAUUUAACGGCCGCGGUAUCUUGACCGUGCAAAGGUAGCAUAAUCAAUUGUUCUUUAAAUAAGGACUAGUAUGAACGGCACCACGAGGGUUUAACUGUCUCCCUAUUUUAAUCAAUGAAAUUGAUCUCCCCGUGAAGAAGCGGGGAUACAACUAUAAGACGAAAAGACCCCAUGGAGCUUUAAACUUAUUUUCAAUUACCAAAGCCCAAAACAUAUACCCGGUAAAAAUGAUAAUCGUUUUCGGUUGGGGCGACCCUGGAGAAAAAUAAAUCCUCCAAGCUGAAUAGACUAAAAAUCUAAUAUUAGAGCAACAACUCAAAUAAUCAAAACCUUGACAAAAUGACCCAGAAUUCAUCUGAUCAACGAACCAAGUUACCCUGGGGAUAACAGCGCAAUCCAUUUCAAGAGCCCUUAUCGACAAAUGGGUUUACGACCUCGAUGUUGGAUCGGGAUAUCCUAGCAG
This 477-nucleotide ribosomal RNA is filed under the name Hyperolius dintelmanni. RNAcentral's name for it is "partial 16S ribosomal RNA". It matches the Rfam family "Bacterial large subunit ribosomal RNA", at positions 1905 to 2553 of the family's 2925-position model. The record is from RNAcentral. Lineage: Eukaryota; Metazoa; Chordata; Amphibia; Anura; Hyperoliidae.